UGAAAGCCCCGGACAGCAGCUAUGAAUGAGCCAUGCUUGCAUGAGCGAAUUCAUAGAUAUUGGGCGGGCAAGACGACAUGAGUAAGUAGGGCGAUAGCCCGGAUUACGAAUGUUGUCAGCAGUUACGGGAGCGACGCAGGCGCGGAGUAACUGGCUUUCA
Non-coding RNA from Blautia sp. CAG:37, 160 nucleotides. NCBI's taxonomy places the organism in Bacteria, Bacillati, Bacillota, Clostridia, Lachnospirales, Lachnospiraceae. The record is from Rfam.